This 253-nucleotide ribosomal RNA is filed under the name uncultured bacterium. RNAcentral describes it as "partial 16S ribosomal RNA". It matches the Rfam family "Bacterial small subunit ribosomal RNA", at positions 524 to 776 of the family's 1533-position model. The record is from RNAcentral.
UACGUAGGGGGCAAGCGUUAUCCGGAUUUACUGGGUGUAAAGGGGGCGCAGACGGCGAUGCAAGCCAGGAGUGAAAGCCCGGGGCCCAACCCCGGGACUGCUCUCGGAACUGCGUGGCUGGAGUGCAGGAGGGGCAGGCGGAAUUCCUGGUGUAGCGGUGAAAUGCGUAGAUAUCAGGAGGAACACCGGUGGCGAAGGCGGCCUGCUGGACUGCAACUGACGUUGAGGCCCGAAAGCGUGGGGAGCAAACAGG